GUGGAAGAAAAGCUGGGUCACACUUGUGUGCCUAUGAAUAUGGGCAUUCUGAAGAGAUGAAUAAUAAGUGUGAACAGGACGAGCAAGUUUCCAGUCCUGUCAGAUUAAUUAGACCAGUGUAGAAUGAAGUGAAGUUUGCCGUUAGGUAUUGGGAGGUCAAGAGAAGGCUGUCUUCAUCCUCUAGGAGUCCAAGAUGUCAGUUUAUUCUUUUUUUAAGUUAUAUGACAGCUGGAAAGUAGUUUAAGCAAUGCCAGUUGGCUCUCAAAUG
This is a long non-coding RNA of Mauremys reevesii (Reeves's turtle), 268 nucleotides long. RefSeq lists it as uncharacterized. The record is from RefSeq and is a predicted model, not a curated record. NCBI's taxonomy places the organism in Eukaryota, Metazoa, Chordata, Testudines, Geoemydidae. The transcript has 3 exons.